Small nucleolar RNA from Pseudophryne corroboree (corroboree frog), 133 nucleotides. RefSeq annotates it as small nucleolar RNA SNORA9. The record is from RefSeq and is a predicted model, not a curated record. The transcript has a single exon. NCBI's taxonomy places the organism in Eukaryota, Metazoa, Chordata, Amphibia, Anura, Myobatrachidae.
GUGCAGGUCUUCCAGCAUGGCCCGGCUAGCGGUAGCCCUGUCCGUUCCUGUAGACUCUGCUAGAUCAGCCCUGGGACGGUUUGAGGCCUCUCUCUGCCCCUCCGGGGGGAGGUUAUAGAAAUCCCGGACACUG